Molecule: long non-coding RNA, 410 nt
Filed under: Monodelphis domestica (gray short-tailed opossum)
Lineage: Eukaryota; Metazoa; Chordata; Mammalia; Didelphimorphia; Didelphidae
Description: lncRNA (ENSMODG00000041960.1)
Source: RNAcentral
GCAUGGGACUGAGCCAGAAAGAAUGCAUGUGGCAGUUAUUCCUGAGCUAGAGAAGGACAGACUGUCAACCUUCACUUCCUAGGGAUGUCAUGGGAUUCCAUUAACCCAUUUCCCUCCAGGAGCUGAGCUCUUGAGGGAAAGAAGAAGAUUACAUCUUUUCUCCCUCCAUUCUUCCUCUCUCCUUGCCCAACAAGGUAGAGGAGAACCAAGACAGGAGUGCCAAAAUGCCAUCUACAAAAGAUCAUCGAACUAUUCUAGAGCUGAGUCAAGUCAAUGCACUUGUGAAAUAUUCAGGAAGAAAAAUAAUUCCUGCCUUUAAUAAAUGUAGAGCCUAAUAGGGGAAGAUAACAUAAAAAAGGGAUUAGAAAAAUGAGAGGGAGAGAAUAAAGUAUGAAAUUCCUUGGGUAUCA